CAACAGGGAUUCCCCUAGUAACGGCGAGUGAAGCGGGAACAGCUCAAAUUUGAAAUCUGGCCCUUGGGUCCGAGUUGUAAUUUGCAGAGGAUGCUUUUGGUGCGGUGCCUUCCGAGUUCCCUGGAACGGGACGCCUUAGAGGGUGAGAGCCCCGUACGGUUGGCCACCAAGCCUGUGUAAAGCUCCUUCGACGAGUCGAGUAGUUUGGGAAUGCUGCUCAAAAUGGGAGGUAUAUUUCUUCUAAAGCUAAAUACUGGCCAGAGACCGAUAGCGCACAAGUAGAGUGAUCGAAAGAUGAAAAGCACUUUGAAAAGAGGGUUAAAUAGCACGUGAAAUUGUUGAAAGGGAAGGAUUUAUGACCAGACUUUUUCUAGGGGGAUCAUCCGGUGUUCUCACCGGUGCACUUCCCCUAGUUGAGGCCAGCAUCGGUUUCUGUCGGGGGAUAAAAGCUUCGGGAAUGUGGCUCCCUCCGGGGAGUGUUAUAGCCCGUUGCAUAAUACCCUGACGGGGACCGAGGUUCGCGCAUUGCAAGGAUGCUGGCGUAAUGGUUAUUAAUCACCCGUCUUGAAACACGGACCAAGGAGUCGAACAUUUGUGCGAGUGUUUGGGUGUUAAACCCUCACGCGUAAUGAAAGUGAACGGAGGUGAGAGCCCUUCGGGGUGCAUCAUCGACCGAUCCUGAUGUCUUCGGAUGGAUUUGAGUAAGAGCAUAACUGUUCGGACCCGAAAGAUGGUGAACUAUGCGUGGAUAGGGUGAAGCCAGAGGAAACUCUGGUGGAGGCUCGCAGCGGUUCUGACGUGCAAAUCGAUCGUCAAAUCUGCGCAUGGGGGCGAAAGACUAAUCGA
RNAcentral lists this ribosomal RNA (846 nucleotides) under Apiospora rasikravindrae. RNAcentral's name for it is "eukaryotic LSU rRNA". It matches the Rfam family "Eukaryotic large subunit ribosomal RNA", at positions 66 to 938 of the family's 3401-position model. The record is from RNAcentral. Lineage: Eukaryota; Fungi; Ascomycota; Sordariomycetes; Amphisphaeriales; Apiosporaceae.